GUCGAGCGGACAGAAGGGAGCUUGCUCCCGGAUGUUAGCGGCGGACGGGUGAGUAACACGUGGGUAACCUGCCUGUAAGACUGGGAUAACUCCGGGAAACCGGAGCUAAUACCGGAUAGUUCCUUGAACCGCAUGGUUCAAGGAUGAAAGACGGUUUCGGCUGUCACUUACAGAUGGACCCGCGGCGCAUUAGCUAGUUGGUGGGGUAAUGGCUCACCAAGGCGACGAUGCGUAGCCGACCUGAGAGGGUGAUCGGCCACACUGGGACUGAGACACGGCCCAGACUCCUACGGGAGGCAGCAGUAGGGAAUCUUCCGCAAUGGACGAAAGUCUGACGGAGCAACGCCGCGUGAGUGAUGAAGGUUUUCGGAUCGUAAAGCUCUGUUGUUAGGGAAGAACAAGUGCGAGAGUAACUGCUCGCACCUUGACGGUACCUAACCAGAAAGCCACGGCUAACUACGUGCCAGCAGCCGCGGUAAUACGUAGGUGGCAAGCGUUGUCCGGAAUUAUUGGGCGUAAAGGGCUCGCAGGCGGUUUCUUAAGUCUGAUGUGAAAGCCCCCGGCUCAACCGGGGAGGGUCAUUGGAAACUGGGAAACUUGAGUGCAGAAGAGGAGAGUGGAAUUCCACGUGUAGCGGUGAAAUGCGUAGAGAUGUGGAGGAACACCAGUGGCGAAGGCGACUCUCUGGUCUGUAACUGACGCUGAGGAGCGAAAGCGUGGGGAGCGAACAGGAUUAGAUACCCUGGUAGUCCACGCCGUAAACGAUGAGUGCUAAGUGUUAGGGGGUUUCCGCCCCUUAGUGCUGCAGCUAACGCAUUAAGCACUCCGCCUGGGGAGUACGGUCGCAAGACUGAAACUCAAGGGAAUUGACGGGGGCCCGCACAAGCGGGUGGAGCAUGUGGUUUAAUUCGAAGC
RNAcentral lists this ribosomal RNA (915 nucleotides) under Bacillus pumilus. RNAcentral describes it as "bacterial SSU rRNA". It matches the Rfam family "Bacterial small subunit ribosomal RNA", at positions 61 to 957 of the family's 1533-position model. Lineage: Bacteria; Bacillati; Bacillota; Bacilli; Caryophanales; Bacillaceae. The record is from RNAcentral.